AGAGUUUGAUCAUGGCUCAGGAUGAACGCUGGCUGUGUGCCUAAUACAUGCAUGUUGAACGAAGCUAAAAGUGCUUGCACUUUAAGACUUAGUAGCGAAUGGGUGAGUAACACGUACUUAACCUACCCCCAAGUUUGGGAUAACGUUUGGAAACGAACGCUAAUACCGAAUACGUAUUUUUAUCGCAUGAUAGAAAUAUAAAAGGAGCUUCGGCUUCGCUAGGGGAUGGGAGUGCGCUACAUUAGUUAGUUGGUAGGGUAAUGGCCUACCAAGACUAUGAUGUAUAGCGGGGCCGAGAGGCUGAUCCGCCACACUGGGACUGAGAUACGGCCCAGACUCCUACGGGAGGCAGCAGUAGGGAAUUUUCCACAAUGAACGAAAGUUUGAUGGAGCGACACAGCGUGCAGGAUGAAGGUCUUCGGAUCGUAAACUGCUGUUAUAAGGGAAGAAAAACUUUAGUAGGUAAUGACUAGAACUUGACGGUACCUUAUCAGAAAGCGACGGCUAACUAUGUGCCAGCAGCCGCGGUAAU
This 532-nucleotide ribosomal RNA is filed under the name uncultured bacterium. RNAcentral describes it as "bacterial SSU rRNA". It matches the Rfam family "Bacterial small subunit ribosomal RNA", at positions 8 to 524 of the family's 1533-position model. The record is from RNAcentral.